GAACACCUACGGGGCGCAGCAGUGAGGAAUAUUGGUCAAUGGCCGCAUGGCUGAACCAGCCACGUCGCGUGAGGGAUGACGGUCCUAUGGAUUGUAAACCUCUUUUGUCAGGGAGCAAAGGGCGCCACGUGUGGCGUUUUGCGAGUACCUGAAGAAAAAGCAUCGGCUAACUCCGUGCCAGCAGCCGCGGUAAUACGGAGGAUGCGAGCGUUAUCCGGAUUUAUUGGGUUUAAAGGGUGCGCAGGCGGAAUGUCAAGUCAGCUGUAAAAUUUCGGGGCUCAACCCCGUCGUGCGUUUGAAACUGG
This 305-nucleotide ribosomal RNA is filed under the name uncultured bacterium. Its description in RNAcentral is "bacterial SSU rRNA". It matches the Rfam family "Bacterial small subunit ribosomal RNA", at positions 333 to 636 of the family's 1533-position model. The record is from RNAcentral.